The sequence is a transfer RNA, 100 nucleotides long. It matches the Rfam family "tRNA". From Rfam's summary of the family: Transfer RNA (tRNA) molecules are approximately 80 nucleotides in length. The record is from Rfam.
GGGCGUGUAGCUCAGUUGGUAGAGCGUUCCAUUCGCAAGGCGACCCCAAUGGUCUCCUGAGGAUUUGGAAAGGUCUUUGGUUCGAUUCCUAACUCGUCCA